This 484-nucleotide ribosomal RNA is filed under the name uncultured bacterium. RNAcentral describes it as "partial 16S ribosomal RNA". It matches the Rfam family "Bacterial small subunit ribosomal RNA", at positions 30 to 507 of the family's 1533-position model. The record is from RNAcentral.
AUUGAACGCUGGCGGCAGGCCUAACACAUGCAAGUCGAGCGGAUGAAGGGAGCUUGCUCCUGGAUUCAGCGGCGGACGGGUGAGUAAUGCCUAGGAAUCUGCCUGGUAGUGGGGGAUAACGUCCGGAAACGGGCGCUAAUACCGCAUACGUCCUGAGGGAGAAAGUGGGGGAUCUUCGGACCUCACGCUAUCAGAUGAGCCUAGGUCGGAUUAGCUAGUUGGUGGGGUAAAGGCCUACCAAGGCGACGAUCCGUAACUGGUCUGAGAGGAUGAUCAGUCACACUGGAACUGAGACACGGUCCAGACUCCUACGGGAGGCAGCAGUGGGGAAUAAUGGACAAUGGGCGAAAGCCUGAUCCAGCCAUGCCGCGUGUGUGAAGAAGGUCUUCGGAUUGUAAAGCACUUUAAGUCGGGAGGAAGGGCAGUAAGUUAAUACCUUGCUGUUUUGACGUUACCAACAGAAUAAGCACCGGCUAACUUCGUG